RNAcentral lists this ribosomal RNA (253 nucleotides) under uncultured bacterium. RNAcentral describes it as "partial 16S ribosomal RNA". It matches the Rfam family "Bacterial small subunit ribosomal RNA", at positions 524 to 776 of the family's 1533-position model. The record is from RNAcentral.
UACGGAGGGGGCUAGCGUUGUUCGGAAUUACUGGGCGUAAAGCGCACGUAGGCGGCUUUGUAAGUUAGAGGUGAAAGCCCGGGGCUCAACUCCGGAAUUGCCUUUAAGACUGCAUCGCUAGAAUUGUGGAGAGGUAAGUGGAAUUCCGAGUGUAGAGGUGAAAUUCGUAGAUAUUCGGAAGAACACCGGUGGCGAAGGCGGCCUGCUGGGCAGUGGCUGACGCUGAGGCGCGACAGCGUGGGGAGCAAACAGG